Molecule: ribosomal RNA, 445 nt
Filed under: uncultured bacterium
Lineage: Bacteria
Description: partial 16S ribosomal RNA
Rfam family: Bacterial small subunit ribosomal RNA
Source: RNAcentral
GUGAGGAAUAUUGCGCAAUGGAGGCAACUCUGACGCAGCCAUGCCGCGUGCAGGAAGAAGGCGCUACGCGUUGUAAACUGCUUUUAACCGGGAAGAAACCCCAGGACGUGUCCUGGGUUGACGGUACCGGAGGAAUAAGCACCGGCUAACUUCGUGCCAGCAGCCGCGGUAAUACGAAGGGUGCAAGCGUUAUCCGGAUUCAUUGGGUUUAAAGGGUGCGUAGGCGGCGCGUUAAGUCAGUGGUGAAAUCCUGCAGCUUAACUGUAGACUUGCCAUUGAUACUGGCGCUCUUGAGUGCGCUUGAAGUGGGCGGAAUGUGCCGUGUAGCGGUGAAAUGCUUAGAUAUGGCACAGAACACCAAUUGCGAAGGCAGCUCACUAAGGCGAUACUGACGCUGAGGCACGAAAGCGUGGGGAUCGAACAGGAUUAGAUACCCUAGUAGUCC